AAAAAUACAACAAGCACAAAAGUAAUGGCUCAAGUAAGCAAAGUGAAAAUAACUGAAGUAUAAACAUAGGCCAAAGUGGGCAAAAAGCAAAUAUGAUAUGAGAUGCUAAAAUAAAAAGUAUAAAGUAAAUAACAAGAAAUAAAAGCAUGAAGUAAAUGACACUAAAAUAAAGUCAAUAUAAUGAGAUGUUAGUCAAUGUUAAUGGAAGAAGAAAAGAUGUUUUAGUCACUUUUUGG
This 236-nucleotide long non-coding RNA is filed under the name Lathyrus oleraceus (garden pea). RNAcentral describes it as "Pisum sativum (pea) long non-coding RNA (PSAT_LNC005504)". Lineage: Eukaryota; Viridiplantae; Streptophyta; Magnoliopsida; Fabales; Fabaceae. The record is from RNAcentral.